UCUUCUCCCUUUCCUUACUCCUACUCGCGUUCUAGAAAGGUUUUCUAGCUAUUUUUUAUCUUUCCCCAAGGUCCUGCAUAGCCAGAGCCCCUCCAAAGCCAUGACUUUGGCAGGCAGUUAGAAAACUGGCAGUAACUUUCUCCUCAGAGUUUAACUGGUUUCAUAUUGGAAAUGCAUCACCUCAAGUUUCUUUUUCUUAAAGACAUCACCUUUGGAGACAGCAGCAAAUAGGUGGAAAAGAAGAGGAAAAUAUAACUAGAAAAGAGGGAUUGAGAAAAAUUAUUUCCUGGUUCAGUGAUAAAUGACAACCUGCAACAGAAGCAUACACCUCUGUAGUCAUAAGUCUCCCACCUCUUGGGAACUCAGGGAUGGAAGACUGGCACCUUUUGCCUCUUCUCUGCAUACAGACUUGAAAACUAGGCCCAAACCUGCCUCCUCCAGGAAGUCUGCCUGGACUGCCACUCAGUCUGCCCAGAAGAUGCACUGCACACAGAACUUGUGCUUCUCAAUGUUUUUGAGCAUGAAACUGUCCUGGCCCCAGGAGGAAGAGUACUAGAUUCCAAUCUGCUUGCUUAUGGAAAAGGCUAAAAGAAAAUCCUGAUCCCAAGGGGAAAUUUGAGUGUAAUAGUUUCAGUGACGAAGGAUGGGCAAGGCUCCAUAACUGACAUCCAGCCAGCUGAGGAAUGUCCGCUGUUUUAGGAUGAAGUUAUACAGGCCGUUGGACUUCAUGGCAUAAAAGAUAUUGCUGUCUUCGGGGAUCUUUAUCACUGUGGGGUUGAGCAGAGAGCUGGUCAACGGUGCUCAUGGGAGAUCCUUCCAAGCACCCCCAGCUCUGGAAAUCUUCCUCCAGGAAAGACCUGCAAGCCCUCUAGUCCAGCUCCAGCUCCAUCUAGGACACCUCCUGAGGACUGACUGUGUGGUAGACCUGAUACAACACAAGGACUUCUCAUUUGAAAGGGGUUUUGGACCCAGAAUGUCCCAGCUCAGCCUGGAAAUGGAAAAGGCUCACUCUGUCAUGAGGACUGUAGGUCUUUACUGGUCAGGACUCUAGAAGUAGGCUUUCCAGAGCCCAAGGCACCCGCUGAAUGCUGCCUGGGACUCUGGAAAGCUCUGCCUAGGAGCAGGCCCCACCACAGGUUUCCUGGGGCAGGCCUCAGGGGGCCUCCACAUCCUGUUUAUCUUAGGUUCCAAAAAGUCCUUCCUCUGGACUCUUCCCCACCCCUCUCCUCUGGCCUAGAGUGAGCUGUCAGCCAGUGCUGAGAGGACUUGGGCAGCUCUGUCUCCACUUGAAUCUCCCCAAGACUCAGUGUUGAUUUUCUGCAA
Cavia porcellus (domestic guinea pig) is the source of this 1323-nucleotide long non-coding RNA. RefSeq lists it as uncharacterized. The transcript is spliced from 4 exons. NCBI's taxonomy places the organism in Eukaryota, Metazoa, Chordata, Mammalia, Rodentia, Caviidae. The record is from RefSeq and is a predicted model, not a curated record.